ACACGACUACAUUAGAUACCCGCGUAGUCCCAGCCCUAAACGAUGCGCGUUAGGUGUAUCGGUGACCACGAGUCACCGAGGUGCCGAAGGGAAACCGUGAAACGUGCCGCCUGGGAAGUACGGUCGCAAGGCUGAAACUUAAAGGAAUUGGCGGGGGAGCACCNCAACGGGUGGAGCCUGCGGUUUAAUUGGACUCAACGCCGGGAAGCUCACCGGAUAAGACAGCGGAAUGAUUGCCGGGCUGAAGACCCUGCAUGACCAGCUG
This 265-nucleotide ribosomal RNA is filed under the name uncultured archaeon. RNAcentral's name for it is "partial 16S ribosomal RNA". It matches the Rfam family "Archaeal small subunit ribosomal RNA", at positions 717 to 982 of the family's 1478-position model. The record is from RNAcentral.